AGACCCGUAGCGCAGUUAGGACAGCGCACCUGCCUUCUAAGUAGGGGGUCGAGGGUUCAAAUCCCUCCGGGUCUGCCA
This 78-nucleotide transfer RNA is filed under the name Candidatus Heimdallarchaeota archaeon. RNAcentral describes it as "tRNA-Arg". It matches the Rfam family "tRNA". From Rfam's summary of the family: Transfer RNA (tRNA) molecules are approximately 80 nucleotides in length. Their secondary structure includes four short double-helical elements and three loops (D, anti-codon, and T loops). Further hydrogen bonds mediate the characteristic L-shaped molecular structure. tRNAs have two regions of fundamental functional importance: the anti-codon, which is responsible for specific mRNA codon recognition, and the 3' end, to which the tRNAs corresponding amino acid is attached (by aminoacyl-tRNA synthetases). tRNAs cope with the degeneracy of the genetic code in two manners: having more than one tRNA (with a specific anti-codon) for a particular amino acid; and 'wobble' base-pairing, i.e. permitting non-standard base-pairing at the 3rd anti-codon position. The record is from RNAcentral. RNAcentral also lists the same sequence under 1 other name. Lineage: Archaea; Promethearchaeati; Candidatus Heimdallarchaeota.